UACGGGGGGAGCAAGCGUUGUUCGGAUUUACUGGGCGUAAAGGGCGCGUAGGCGGCCGCCGCAAGUCAGUUGUGAAAUCUCCGAGCUUAACUCGGAAAGGUCAACUGAUACUGCGGGGCUAGAGUGCGGAAGGGGCAACUGGAAUUCUUGGUGUAGCGGUGAAAUGCGUAGAUAUCAAGAGGAACACCUGCGGCGAAGGCGGGUUGCUGGGCCGACACUGACGCUGAGGCGCGAAAGCUAGGGGAGCGAA
This 250-nucleotide ribosomal RNA is filed under the name uncultured bacterium. RNAcentral's name for it is "partial 16S ribosomal RNA". It matches the Rfam family "Bacterial small subunit ribosomal RNA", at positions 524 to 772 of the family's 1533-position model. The record is from RNAcentral.